This 414-nucleotide long non-coding RNA is filed under the name Fukomys damarensis (Damara mole-rat). RNAcentral's name for it is "lncRNA (ENSFDAG00000026044.1)". Lineage: Eukaryota; Metazoa; Chordata; Mammalia; Rodentia; Bathyergidae. The record is from RNAcentral.
CCCAGAACCUAGCAAGCAUUCAAGUAAUGUUUCCGAAUGAGACAAUCAAUAAAGCUAUAGAUCAAUCAAAGCAUUUGUAAGGAAGGUGCCAUCCCAGUCUGGUAUUGAGUGAUGAGUAGAAUUGAAGAGCGUUUGUCAGCAAAAGAAACUGUAUAGAUAAAGAAAAAGAAAAACAGAAAAAGAGGGAGCCAACACAGACCAGAGAACGGGGCCGAAAUGAAGUAAGUAAAAAAUCAGAUAAAUGUAUACAGACAAAAACAGACCUUAUGCUCCCAUGAAUAUUUCAAAAUUCACACUGCACUGAUGUAUUUAGACAAGGAGGGCAACUGGAGCUUUUAAAGGACAAAGACCUUUGAUUCUUGAGAGCUGUUUCUCUUAAUUAUACACACAUAUGCAUAUAUACAUUUAUGACAC